Molecule: unclassified non-coding RNA, 997 nt
Filed under: Hevea brasiliensis (rubber tree)
Lineage: Eukaryota; Viridiplantae; Streptophyta; Magnoliopsida; Malpighiales; Euphorbiaceae
Source: RNAcentral
GGGGAAGCUCUAAAGAAGAACAAAAUCAACAAGGGUGGCCAAGCAUUACCCUGCACGUCAUUACGCAACAAUUCCAACACACAGCUAGAAGGAUCAUUAAGGAUAUGUUUCCCACAAUCAGCCUCAACAGCCAAAUUUACCAACUUAUCCGCAAUCAUGUUCCCUUCACGAAAACAAUGAGCCCAAGAAAUCUGCCAUUCUCGAGCUAAGAGAGCCUUACAUUGAGAUAACAAGUUGACAUACCGCACAUUAGAAAUGACUUUCCCCCUUAUCAAUUCCAGGGAAGCCUUAUAAUCAAUUUCCACACACACCCUUCUGUAGCCAAGCUCCCACGCAAGAAUACCCAAGCUGAACCAGAAAGCCGUUCAAGCAUCUUCCCAAAUGAUCUCAUAACACACCACCACAUCCCACAACACCUGGAUUGCUUUUAGAAGCACCAUCUACAUCCACUAGUUGGAGUAGACCAAGGUACAGGAUUUUAAUAGUGGUGGAACACUGACGACCAUAAUUCUCUCAAGCAGAGACAUUAUUGCAAACCUAGGUACGUAUCACAACCAUUUUUAAAUUAAUAUCCAAACUGUGACCAUUAAACACAAAAUUGUUCCUCCACUUCCACAACCACCAAAAUGUAGAACAUAGCACCUGAAGAGAGGAAGCCUUUCCAAACUGAACCCCCACCAGUUUAUUACAACUGAGAAACCAAUCACCCAUGCUCAUUCGUUGAAACCUGAGGAGGGAAUCACGAUCCCAAACCUUCCUCCAAAUAUUCUGUGCUGACAACGAUCUCGAAAUAUAAGCAAAAGAGUUUCACUAUGAUCCCCACAACGAAAGCAACUCGAUAGAAUAACAAAACCUCUCCAACACCUUUCAACAUUAGGCAUAAGUUUGCCAUGCAUCAAAGUCCAUAAAAAGACCUUAAUCUGUUGAGGGAUUUUAUUUUCGAACAGAAACAGAAUCACUAGCAGAAGCAUACAAAUAAGCCGAUUUGACAGUAAAC